AGGUCAGUAGUUCAGUUGGUAGAGCGUCGGUCUCCAAAACCGAAUGUCGGGGGUUCGAGUCCCUCCUGGCCUGCCA
This 76-nucleotide transfer RNA is filed under the name Sulfurovum sp. RNAcentral describes it as "tRNA-Trp". It matches the Rfam family "tRNA". Rfam says of the family: Transfer RNA (tRNA) molecules are approximately 80 nucleotides in length. Their secondary structure includes four short double-helical elements and three loops (D, anti-codon, and T loops). The record is from RNAcentral. Lineage: Bacteria; Pseudomonadati; Campylobacterota; Epsilonproteobacteria; Campylobacterales; Sulfurovaceae. RNAcentral also lists the same sequence under 1 other name.